CCCCCGCUAGCUCAGUUGGCAGAGCACCCGGCUCUUAACCGGGGUGUCGCAGGUUCGAGCCCUGCGCGGGGGA
Molecule: transfer RNA, 73 nt
Filed under: Nocardiopsis eucommiae
Lineage: Bacteria; Bacillati; Actinomycetota; Actinomycetes; Streptosporangiales; Nocardiopsidaceae
Rfam family: tRNA
About the family: Transfer RNA (tRNA) molecules are approximately 80 nucleotides in length.
Source: Rfam by way of RNAcentral